UGGCUCAGAUGGUAAAGAAUCUGCCUGCAGUGCAGAAGACCCAGGUUCAAUUCCUGG
Molecule: transfer RNA, 57 nt
Filed under: Capra hircus (goat)
Lineage: Eukaryota; Metazoa; Chordata; Mammalia; Artiodactyla; Bovidae
Also listed under: 1 other name
Rfam family: tRNA
About the family: Transfer RNA (tRNA) molecules are approximately 80 nucleotides in length.
Source: Rfam by way of RNAcentral